This 460-nucleotide ribosomal RNA is filed under the name uncultured bacterium. RNAcentral describes it as "partial 16S ribosomal RNA". It matches the Rfam family "Bacterial small subunit ribosomal RNA", at positions 338 to 795 of the family's 1533-position model. The record is from RNAcentral.
CCUACGGGAGGCAGCAGUGAGGAAUAUUGGUCAAUGGCCGGAAGGCUGAACCAGCCAUGCCGCGUGAAGGUCAGUGCCCUAUGGGCGUUAAACUUCUUUUGUGCGGGAGCAAUAAUGGUCACGUGUGGCCAGACGAGAGUACCGUACGAAUAAGCAUCGGCUAACUCCGUGCCAGCAGCCGCGGUAAUACGGGGGAUGCAAGCGUUAUCCGGAUUUAUUGGGUUUAAAGGGUGCGUAGGCUGUGAGGUAAGUCAGCGGUGAAAUGCCCCCGCUCAACGGGGUGAAGUGCCAUUGAUACUGCCUGGCUGGAAUGCGGAUGCCGUGGGAGGAAUGUGUGGUGUAGCGGUGAAAUGCAUAGAGAUCACACAGAACACCGAUUGCGAAGGCAUCUCACGAAUCCGCGAUUGACGCUGAUGCACGAAAGCGUGGGUAUCAAACAGGAUUAGAUACCCGGGUAGUC